GGGUCGCUAGCUCAACUGGUAGAGCAUUCGGCGAAGUAGUGUGUCCGCCCUCCGCUCGCGCGGCCAUGGGUGCGCUUCCUUCUCUCUGAAGACCCGAAGUGUUCGGGGUUCGAAUCCCCGGCGACCCC
Molecule: transfer RNA, 128 nt
Filed under: Paractinoplanes ovalisporus
Lineage: Bacteria; Bacillati; Actinomycetota; Actinomycetes; Micromonosporales; Micromonosporaceae
Description: tRNA-OTHER
Rfam family: tRNA
About the family: Transfer RNA (tRNA) molecules are approximately 80 nucleotides in length. Their secondary structure includes four short double-helical elements and three loops (D, anti-codon, and T loops). Further hydrogen bonds mediate the characteristic L-shaped molecular structure. tRNAs have two regions of fundamental functional importance: the anti-codon, which is responsible for specific mRNA codon recognition, and the 3' end, to which the tRNAs corresponding amino acid is attached (by aminoacyl-tRNA synthetases). tRNAs cope with the degeneracy of the genetic code in two manners: having more than one tRNA (with a specific anti-codon) for a particular amino acid; and 'wobble' base-pairing, i.e. permitting non-standard base-pairing at the 3rd anti-codon position.
Source: RNAcentral